GCCCUAUAGUGCCACUACACUUCCCGACAAGGGCCUUCGGAGAAAUGCGAUGUUUCAAGCUAAGGCCCUAUAGUGCCACUACACUUCCCGACAAGGGCCUUCGGAGAAAUAUCGAAUUUCUCCUUGUAUUUGUCAGGUAUAGUUACAUCCCUAGCAAUGAAAGGUUUGUUAUUAUUGGCACGACCUACAACAGACUGUUCAAGAUUAUAUCCCAAAUUAUAGACUGUCUGGUAUCUUCAGGAUACUAGAAU
Molecule: non-coding RNA, 251 nt
Organism: Paramuricea clavata
Lineage: Eukaryota; Metazoa; Cnidaria; Anthozoa; Malacalcyonacea; Plexauridae
Source: the annotation of a GenBank genome assembly